GCACUGUUGAGGAGUCCCGCAACAGGACGAAAUGGCCGUCCAGUGC
This 46-nucleotide non-coding RNA is filed under the name Schistosoma haematobium. Lineage: Eukaryota; Metazoa; Platyhelminthes; Trematoda; Strigeidida; Schistosomatidae. The record is from RNAcentral.